Molecule: long non-coding RNA, 1238 nt
Organism: Uranotaenia lowii
Lineage: Eukaryota; Metazoa; Arthropoda; Insecta; Diptera; Culicidae
Exons: 4
Source: RefSeq, a predicted model, not a curated record
AAACAAGCUAAUUUUCCGAUACAAAUUAUGAAUCAGAGCCUAUUAUGUCGCGGUCGGCUCCACCGGUCGACGGAGGGCUUCUAUUUCAGCGAUGGUUCCGUUCAGUGCAUCCCCACCCGGAAUAGGACUGCCAGGUGCUGCAGCAACAAUUGGAGGAGCCAGUAGACCUAAUCCCGACAUCAUGCCUACAAUAAUAUGGUGGUUUCGUCGGUGCUGGUCAGCGAAUGGACGGAACAAAAUGCCCCGGACAGACGAACCUACUUCUGAAUCAUCAAUCAAAUUUCCUGGGAAAGGCCGGACGAAGUUAUAGCAGCAAAAAAUUGCUUUUCCAGUGCCCCUGGAUGAAGUACCGGUCCGAUAAAGGAAAAGUACUACCAUAACUUUAACACCAAGGAAUCACCGGAAUAUGUUGAGUUGAAACAGAAAGUCGGCGACAAACGGGUUGUUAGGAAAGCUGCCAAGUUGGAAUUAAAAAACGGUUACAGCUGCUUCCGGUGGUGCGAUACUGAUGUUGAUUCUUCCGGUUAGAACGCUCGUAGAAUCACCAGCACCGGCCAAUGCUAGCUAUUUCUUACGUCUUUAUCCGAUAGGGGAGCAUAGUUUCGGCACAGAAUUCGUCCUAUGGAUCAAGCCAUGGCCAUGGCUUGAAGCUGGCUACUCAACAGAAAUGAUCCCGCUAUCGGAUCAGGUUCUCGAUUUUUGGAAUAAGUAAUAGAAGAUAUUUGGAUAGUUCGGAUGUUUUUAAACGUAUCCGGAAGAUGUUAUUCCUGAAUGUAGUCCGGUCCGCGUUUUUAUAUCGAGAUAAAAACUAAAAGCUGGUCAUGACCCGAACCUAAACAACUCUGUCGGGAGCAUCAACCGCAUCAGGAACAUUGGUUUUCCAAAAACUUUGGUGUGGAAUGAUGAAUUGAACUUCAAACAACGACAUUCAACUGGAAGUUUUCGUUGAUAGAUGCCCCCUUAGACGGAAGAUUUCAAACACGGAGAAAGAAAGUGUUCGAAGGAAGGAAGCUAUUCCGACUACAAGACACUACCGGGAAGUUCUUUUGAAGUUAUCUGCCUUUCUGGUAUCUCUUGUCAGCCAAAGCAGGAAGAUGACCCUGGUAGAAUGUACGAAACUCGUCGCAUUUGACCUCGAAAACCGAAGUGAAGGUUCGGACAUCGAGGGGAGACUGCCCCCAUUUUUCGCUUUCUGGACGUUUGAAGUUUCUAAAAAUAAAAUAAAAAACAUAGUUAAA